This is a non-coding RNA of Enterococcus sp., 87 nucleotides long. Lineage: Bacteria; Bacillati; Bacillota; Bacilli; Lactobacillales; Enterococcaceae. The record is from Rfam.
UACCAACAACAACCCUUUUUAUUUUUUCAUUUUACUCUUUAGAGUAAAACUCCUUUUCCCACCUUCUCUAGAGGGUGGGAUUUUUUU